GCGUUCCUUUUCUCACUUUCCAGGCGAAGACUCACCCCUGCACAGAGACCGGGCCUGAAAAUCCAGGCCAUGACAAAGUCCACCAAACCACCGCUUCCCCUGGUUGCCGGCCUGUGAACAAAGAACUGCCAUUUUCUUCUUUUUGCCCUGUGUUCGUCAUGCACCUUACUUCCUGAUGAAGCUGGAGGCCUUUUGCAUCCUCAACGUCAAGCGUCAUCAAGAGAAAUUUGAACAAAUCUACCAGCCUCUGCAAAGGGAACAUCAGAGACAUCAAGAACCUGCACAUCAGUCUAGAAAAAAUUUGAGCGAG
Molecule: long non-coding RNA, 310 nt
Filed under: Sus scrofa (pig)
Lineage: Eukaryota; Metazoa; Chordata; Mammalia; Artiodactyla; Suidae
Description: lncRNA (ENSSSCG00035073405.1)
Source: RNAcentral